RNAcentral lists this long non-coding RNA (1465 nucleotides) under Gossypium barbadense (sea-island cotton). Its description in RNAcentral is "long non-coding RNA (GBAR_LNC017030)". The record is from RNAcentral. Lineage: Eukaryota; Viridiplantae; Streptophyta; Magnoliopsida; Malvales; Malvaceae.
UACAAUCUUCCAACAAGAGAUGAGAAAGGGAGGGUGAGGGUGAGGGACGGAUACAAAAAGCUCCAUAGAGUUUGCCUAGAAAUAAGAUCCGAAAGUUGGAAAUUGGAUCCAAGUUGGGCUAGUUCAUCACCGCAUCAAUUGGCUUACCUAAAGAUGUAAAAAUUUAUUAAAGUCGAUAAAUUACUCCAUAGUGAUCAGGAGCAUCUUGUAAUCAUUUAUCCAAGUCGAUAACAAUAAAUUAGUACAAUUAACAUUAGUCAUGAAGCUAACAACAGAAGUAACUCUACUUCUAUCUCUAACUCUAUGUUGCUAAUGGUAAGGCUUUUAGCUACUAGGGAUGUGUCUAAAUGACCCUAUGACCCAAUCUCUGUUAUGGUUUCGAAUGAUUGCUCUCGCUCUUGCUUUGCUUGGGUUCACAACCGAUGAUCUGUCCAUGUUUAGUUUGAACCAUCCCCAUUGUGGCUUAAUCCAUGAUACCUCUACAAAUGUUGGGAUAUAGAUGGUGCGAGGUGGUUGAGAUAAGGCGAAGCACUCAGCAGCGCUCGAUAUGGUAUUUGCUUUGGUGGCAGUUAUUUAUGGAUUUCCUCCAUGCAGUACUGCAUUUCUGAACAACCAAAUUCCCCAAAGGUUCUAGGCAACAUAACUCUCCAUGGAAUUUUUGGCCUGUCAAUUAGUCCAGCAUUUUGUUGAGAGGUGUCUUAUUGUUUCCUCAUGAGCAUGGCAUCGCGAGCAAAGGCAGCUGACGUUAAUGCCUCUCGUAUUCAAAAAUUUCUUUAUGGGGAGUGCUUUGAGGCUGCAGUUCCAUAAAAAAGAAUUUAAUCUUGGGUAGGAGCUUAGCUUUCCAUAUGCUGUCCCAAGUUGGGAUGUUCCCUCUUAGAGCCAUAUUUUUCUUUCUCUCGACUACAAUAUCAUAUGUCGUUUGAAGUGAAAAUAGGCUUGUACGGGAUGGGCUCCAAACUAAAGAACCUGUAGCACUCCCAGUAAUUGAAGUUGGUGAGCUUGUCAAUGCUUAGAUCAAUUCUCUAGGGAGUUCAAAUAAGAAACUGUCGAUCUCUUGUAAAACCCAAUUCUCUCUAACUUGAUGGAAUGACCAAAGUCCCUCAUCUCGGUUAAGGGGACCCACAACUAGCUUUCUUAAAGGCCCAAGACCUGACCAGUUAUUUGACCAAAAAUUAAUUUAGGGUCUGUUUAAUUAAAGGAAUUGAUUUUCCAGAAAAUCAUUUCCAACUUUUCCAGCGUUUGAUUGGCGGAAAACAUUUUCCAUUUGGAAAAUGAACUCCAAAGCAAGGGAAAAUGGGUUACAUUUUAGGGAAAAUGUCUUACCCUUUCAAUUUCCGUAAGACAUUUUCCGUGCUCUCCUCUCUAUCGCCUCCUUCAUUCCUUCCUUCAUUUCCGGUAGAAAAUUGCUUCUGUUUAUCGAUUUUCCAGUAACUUGUUUUUUAAUUAUUCAAUACUUGUUUUUUUA